CAAUAGCGUAUAUUUAAGUUGUUGCAGUUAAAAAGCUCGUAGUUGGAUUUUGGGUCGGGGGCACCGGUCCGCCGUUCCGGUGUGCACUGGUGGCCCCUUCCUUUCUGCCGGGGACGUGCGUCGCACUUAAUUGGGUGGCGUUCGGAGUCGGCGUUGUUACUUUGAAAAAAUUAGAGUGUUCAAAGCAAGCCAUCGCUCUGAAUACAUUAGCAUGGAAUAACAUGAUAGGACUCCGGUCUUAUUUUGUUGGUUUCCGAGACUGGAGUAAUGAUUAAGAGGGACAGUCGGGGGCAUCCGUAUUUCAGUGUCAGAGGUGAAAUUCUUGGAUUUAUGAAAGACGAACUUCUGCGAAAGCAUUUGCCAAGGAUGUUUUCAUUA
RNAcentral lists this ribosomal RNA (378 nucleotides) under uncultured eukaryote. RNAcentral's name for it is "partial 18S ribosomal RNA". It matches the Rfam family "Eukaryotic small subunit ribosomal RNA", at positions 592 to 975 of the family's 1831-position model. The record is from RNAcentral.